This 405-nucleotide transfer-messenger RNA is filed under the name Anaerolineales. RNAcentral's name for it is "JABJGH01 sp018662365 Standard tmRNA". It matches the Rfam family "transfer-messenger RNA". Rfam says of the family: Bacterial tmRNA, also known as 10Sa RNA or SsrA, is named for its dual tRNA and mRNA-like properties. Its role is to liberate the mRNA from a stalled ribosome. To accomplish this part of the tmRNA is used as a reading frame that ends in a translation stop signal. The record is from RNAcentral. Lineage: Bacteria; Bacillati; Chloroflexota; Anaerolineae. RNAcentral also lists the same sequence under 1 other name.
GGGGAUGAUUGGUUUCGACGGGAGAGGCUGGUCACGAAUUGCAAGCCGAGAGGUACCGAUCUCGUAAAAUCAGUACACACUAUUAAGUGCCAAUCGCACUCAAUACGCCGCAUUACCUUUAGCUGCCUAGUGUAGUUACUGGCUAAUGUAGCCAAAUGACCCCUCGUGGGUCACGUCUCCCUACUCCCUUCCCUGGUGGGAGGAGGUGCAGGCGAAACAAGACUAGGGUGCUGUACGGGACUACUGCUAAACGUACUCAAGAUGAACUUUCGGGUUCUAGCAGUCAGCCGUUUGAGGCUUGGGUCCCUUGUAGCCCAAAACGGUUAAACAAACAAGAGACUACGCUUGUAGACGUUCGUUGACUUAAUCUUUCGGACGCGGGUUCGAUUCCCGCCAUCUCCACCU